AGUAGCUUAGCCGAGCUGUCUAAGGCCCUGGAUUAAGGCUCCAGUCUUUGCAGGGAUGUGGGUUUAAAUCCCACUGGUGCCA
This 82-nucleotide transfer RNA is filed under the name Loxodonta africana (African savanna elephant). It matches the Rfam family "tRNA". From Rfam's summary of the family: Transfer RNA (tRNA) molecules are approximately 80 nucleotides in length. Their secondary structure includes four short double-helical elements and three loops (D, anti-codon, and T loops). Lineage: Eukaryota; Metazoa; Chordata; Mammalia; Proboscidea; Elephantidae. The record is from Rfam by way of RNAcentral.